UACGGAGGAUGCGAGCGUUAUCCGGAUUUAUUGGGUUUAAAGGGUGCGUAGGCGGGCUUUUAAGUCAGCGGUAAAAAUUCGGGGCUCAACCCCGUCCGGCCGUUGAAACUGGGGGUCUUGAGUGGGCGAGAAGAAGGCGGAAUGCGUGGUGUAGCGGUGAAAUGCAUAGAUAUCACGCAGAACUCCGAUUGCGAAGGCGGCAUACCGGCGCCCUACUGACGCUGAGGCACGAAAGCGUGGGUAUCGAACAGG
This 252-nucleotide ribosomal RNA is filed under the name uncultured bacterium. Its description in RNAcentral is "partial 16S ribosomal RNA". It matches the Rfam family "Bacterial small subunit ribosomal RNA", at positions 524 to 776 of the family's 1533-position model. The record is from RNAcentral.